This 468-nucleotide ribosomal RNA is filed under the name uncultured bacterium. Its description in RNAcentral is "partial 16S ribosomal RNA". It matches the Rfam family "Bacterial small subunit ribosomal RNA", at positions 28 to 507 of the family's 1533-position model. The record is from RNAcentral.
GACGAACGCUGGCGGCGUGCUUAACACAUGCAAGUCGAACGGAAAGGCCCUGCUUUUGUGGGGUGCUCGAGUGGCGAACGGGUGAGUAACACGUGAGUAACCUGCCCUUGACUUUGGGAUAACUUCAGGAAACUGGGGCUAAUACCGGAUAGGAGCUCCUGCUGCAUGGGGGGGGUUGGAAAGUUUCGGCGGUUGGGGAUGGACUCGCGGCUUAUCAGCUUGUUGGUGGGGUAGUGGCUUACCAAGGCUUUGACGGGUAGCCGGCCUGAGAGGGUGACCGGCCCCAUUGGGACUGAGAUACGGCCCAGACUCCUACGGGAGGCAGAAGUGGGGAAUAUUGCACAAUGGGCGGAAGCCUGAUGCAGCAACGCCGCGUGCGGGAUGACGGCCUUCGGGUUGUAAACCGCUUUCGCCUGUGACGAAGCGUGAGUGACGGUAAUGGGUAAAGAAGCACCGGCUAACUACGUG